AAAUCACGAAUGGAAACGGACUGAGGUAGCAUCUUUGGUUCACACUAUAAAUAUCAGCAGGUCUUAACAUGUUUUUUUUUUGGUCAUUUGUUUUUCUUUUCUACAUGAGGAAGCAGCGCUCUUUUAUAUAUGCUUCGAUGUUGUAAUAGUCGUAAAUACCAAAUAUAUUUUUUAAAGCUAAAACACACCACAAGAGACAACAAGGCCAGAUAUCUUGUGAGUUUUGAGUGAGUCUGUUAUAUGAAGCGAACGCAUCACCCUUCUUCGGUCUCCAUAAUGCUUUCUUCCUAGUUGUGAAAUGCAUAGAAUGCGCUCCCUCUCUCUACAAGGGUAUUGGGCCUGAAUGGGGGACACUGCGGAGGUGUUGAUGGUCGGUGCCAUGAAAAUGAUGCAUUAGACAAUGAAAUAGCCUUCUAUCAAGAAAUUAAAAAGUAUCUAAGUGAGCUUAAUGGGAUAUGAUACAUGACAGCAGAUGGGUUUUGAGUUUUUGAAAGCAUGCUGACAGCCACACUCAUUACACUGACAUUCUAGGGUUAAGAAGUGAUGUAUGAAAGUCUGUAUAACACAAAACAACCUAACUUUCAAACUAAUUAACAGGAUCCAGACAAAGCUAACUAUACUAAAUGACAAAACACUGUGCUGAGUAGUUUUUUAAAUAAUAUCUCCCGUGUAGCUGUGCUUUAUGGAUGGAUGUGUAUAUGAAACAAUGACAGGUGCUGGUUGGUGUAACAUUAUCUUUGGUUUUCAGCAACUGGCAUUUAAAAAUACAGGUAAAAAAGGCAGGUUAAAGCUAGCAAAAAUCUCCCUGAAAUAAUCACAAGACUGAAGGACGAGAUAAGCUGUGUCCCGACAUGUGUCUGACUGAUUGAGUUAGUUUUGGGACAAAGAAGAGAUCUAAUUAUAUGUCGAAUGGCUAUAGAACCCACAGUCCAUAGUCACCUGAUUUGAACUGUAACUGGGUGUCUUGAUAAAGAGUAAUCAACAUAGUUUGGUCUGAUAAAGCAAAGCAAAUAAAUAAAUAAAUAAAUAGAUAAAUAAAUUAAAUACACGUGUUUCUUUGGUUCUACCAUCUGUGAUUGAUUGAUCGAUAAGUCGUGGAGAUGGCAAGUUCACAUGUAUUUUUGGGUUCCUAUGUGACUUUUCCAGCAAUUAGGAAGAAAGCACUAUCCUGAGGGUGACAUUCAGGAAAACUGUCAAGAUUCUACACCACCUGAUUGUAUUUGGCAUCCCUGGCUAGAUUUGGGAUACCUAAAAACACAGAGGUUAUGGGGAAGAGUGGGGAACGACCAGUGAUUGGAGUCCGUUACUCCAUCAUGCUUUGGUACAAGUGCUGGAGGAGGAGGAGUUGGCCGAGUUGGAGCUGCCGUCGUCCAGCCACUUAUCGAGGCUCCGUCGACGCGCGUUCAUGAAAAAGUUGCUGACGGUGGCGAGCUCCAGGCCCAGCUGCUGAGAGAUGGUGAUUUGUAACUCUUUGGACGGACGCUUGUUCUCUUUGAAUAUUGCAUGUAAAGUCCGACGCUGGACAUCGGUGAAGACCAACCGGGGCUUCUUGGAGAUGUUUCCCCGCUCGCCUUUACCGUGCUCCUGCUCCUUUCGUUUGCACGCUGAAAAAACAAAAUGUCGAUAUGCAAAAGUCAGACAUUUGUGGAUAUCGUAUAAAUAGAAUGAUUUAUUCGUUUAGACAUACUGUAAAUUUCUAAAAUGUUUUUUUUUUAAUCUGACAUGAAAUAGACAAAAAACACAAAUGCUUUUUGGAGGGUGAAUCAAUCAAUUAUUGCAUACCAAUUAAGAAAUAUGAAUUAUAAAAAAACUUAUUUAAAGCGAAUUUUAAACGAAGGCCAUUGAUGUUUUAAAAAAGUCCCAAGGUUGCUGUUUUUAAGAAAACCACAAGAGGGCGCUAAUAGAUGGUGGGAAACUGCUUGAGCAGGUAUUUACUUCACACGCACGCACGCACAUUGGAUUCAUCAAAUGCAGUCUACUUAAACAAAUAAUCCGACUCAAGCUAUGAAUAUGCA
Danio rerio (zebrafish) is the source of this 2015-nucleotide non-coding RNA. The record is from RefSeq and is a predicted model, not a curated record. Lineage: Eukaryota; Metazoa; Chordata; Actinopteri; Cypriniformes; Danionidae.